RNAcentral lists this ribosomal RNA (505 nucleotides) under uncultured bacterium. RNAcentral describes it as "partial 16S ribosomal RNA". It matches the Rfam family "Bacterial small subunit ribosomal RNA", at positions 28 to 507 of the family's 1533-position model. The record is from RNAcentral.
GACGAACGCUGGCGGCGUGCCUAAUACAUGCAAGUAGAACGCACAGUUUAUACCGUAGCUUGCUACACCAUAGACUGUGAGUUGCGAACGGGUGAGUAACGCGUAGGUAACCUGCCUGGUAGCGGGGGAUAACUAUUGGAAACGAUAGCUAAUACCGCAUAAUAUUGAUUAUUGCAUGAUAAUUGAUUGAAAGAUGCUAUUGCAUCACUACCAGAUGGACCUGCGUUGUAUUAGCUAGUAGGUGAGGUAACGGCUCACCUAUGCGACGAUACAUAGCCGACCUGGGAGGGUGAUCGGCCACACUGGGACUGAGACACGGCCCAGACUCCUACGGGAGGCAGCAGUAGGGAAUCUUCGGCAAUGGACGAAAGUCUGACCGAGCAACGCCGCGUGAGUGAAGAAGGUUUUCGGAUCGUAAAGCUCUGUUGUAAGAGAAGAACGGGUGUGAGAGUGGAAAGUUCACACUGUGACGGUAUCUUACCAGAAAGGGACGGCUAACUACGUG